GACAGAGGGUGCAAACGUUGUUCGGAAUUACUGGGCGUAAAGCGUGUGUAGGUGGCUGCGUAAGUCGGAUGUGAAAGCCCUGGGCUCAACUCAGGAAGUGCACUCGAUACUGCGUAGCUCGAGUACCGGAGAGGUUGGUGGAAUUCUCGGUGUAGAGGUGAAAUUCGUAGAUAUUGGGAAGAACACCGGUGGCGAAGGCGGCUCUCUGGACCGUAACUGACGCUGAGGCGCGAAAGCGUGGGGAGCAAACAGG
This 253-nucleotide ribosomal RNA is filed under the name uncultured bacterium. RNAcentral's name for it is "partial 16S ribosomal RNA". It matches the Rfam family "Bacterial small subunit ribosomal RNA", at positions 524 to 776 of the family's 1533-position model. The record is from RNAcentral.